CUCCAGGGGUAGCGGUGAAAAUGCUGUAAUCCCUGGGGGACCGCCAGUGGCUAAAGCGCCCGGCGAGGGCGGACCCGACGGUGAGGGACGAAGGCCAGGGGAGCCAAACCGGAUUAGAUACCCGGGUAGUCCUGGCUGUCAAGGAUGUGGGCUAGGUGUCGGAUGUCCUUCGAGGGUAUUCGGUGCCGUAGGAAAGCCGUUAAGCCCACCACCUGGGAAGUACUGCCGCAAGGCUGAAACUUAAAGAAAUUGGCGGGGGAGCACCACAAGGGGUGGAGCCUGCGGUUUAAUUGGAUUCAACGCCGGACAACUCACCGGGGGCGACGGCAGUGUGAAGGCCAAGUUGACGACUUUGCCGGAUUCGCCGAGAGGUGGUGCAUGGCCGCCGUCAGCUCGUAUCGUGAGACGUCCUGUCAAGUCAGGUAACGAGCGAGACCCUCACCCUUAGUUGCCAGCGGAUCCCGCAAGGGAUGCCGGGAACUCUAAGGGGACCGCUGUCGAUAAGACAGAGGAGGGAGAGGGCGACGGUAGGUCCGUAUGCCCCGAAUCCCCCGGGCAACACGCGGGCUACAAUGCGUAGGGCAGAGGGCUGCGAUCCCGAAAGGGAGAGCUAAUCCCUAAACCUGCGCUUAGUUCGGAUCGAGGGCUGCAACCCGCCCUCGUGAAGCUGGAAUCC
RNAcentral lists this ribosomal RNA (676 nucleotides) under uncultured candidate division MSBL1 archaeon. Its description in RNAcentral is "bacterial SSU rRNA". It matches the Rfam family "Archaeal small subunit ribosomal RNA", at positions 618 to 1290 of the family's 1478-position model. The record is from RNAcentral. Lineage: Archaea; Methanobacteriati; Methanobacteriota.